RNAcentral lists this ribosomal RNA (1626 nucleotides) under Triticum aestivum (bread wheat). RNAcentral describes it as "partial small subunit ribosomal RNA". Lineage: Eukaryota; Viridiplantae; Streptophyta; Magnoliopsida; Poales; Poaceae. The record is from RNAcentral.
AUGUCCGCGCGGCGGCCGGCCAGGGCCCAGCACGCGACGGCGACGGCCACGACGGUCACGCCGCGGAUCCUUAACCUGGCGAGGAGGUCGUCGGCGGCGGGCGGGAGGCCGAGCCGGAGCGCGGCCCGGCCGCAGCAGCCCCGCCCGGCGCCCAAGGUGGUCAACCUCGGCGCGCUGUUCGAGAUGGAGCGCCGCGUGCGCGGGCUGGAGUCGGCGCCGGCGUCGCCGCCCUGCUCCCACGGGCCCGCCGCGCGGCCGCGGGAGGACGCCGCGGAGCAGGAGGGGAAGUGGCGGUUCCAGGCGGAGAUCCUCCGCGCCGAGUGCAACUUCCUCCGGAUGGAGCGCGAGGUCGCCCUCCGCAAGCUCGACUGCCACCGCGGCCAGAUGGAGGCCGCCCUCAAGACCGCCGUCGAGACGCUCGCCUCGGGGAGGAAGAAGAUAGACGCAAGUGGCGAGGUCGGCGUGGCGGCGGCGUUGGAGGAAGGGAUCGAGGACCUGGAGGAGAUGAUGCAGGAACUCCGGGUGGAGAAGGAGAGCGGGAGGAGGGCGAUGAGCGGCAUGCGGGAGCUGCGGCGGAGCCACGGCCGGAACUUCGAUCGGCAAGCAUCCUCGCUCCGCCGGCGCCUCGAGAGGAUGCCACCAGCCGACGCCGAGCCCACUAUCAAGGACAUCCGCGAGAUCGCGCGCCCGCUCUCCCCACCGCCGCCUCCGCCUGCCGAGGACGACGACGGCGAUGACCACGUCCCCAGCGCCAAUCUGUCAGAUGUGGAGAUGCUUCGGGUGAAGAUGGAGGGGAUGUCGAAGGGCAUGCGCGACAGGAUGGCGGAGUACAGCCGGCGGCUGGAAGCCGUCGCGGGCGGCGGCGACAACUCCGGCUGCCAGUCCAGGAAAUGCGGCAGCCGGCACAGCCGUAAGGCGAGCGCGUGCAGCCAGAGGAGCUGGAGCGGCAGCAGCAACGCGAGCAACGGCAGCAAUGCGGCGGCGUUCCGGCAGAACGCCUGGCACGGCGCCAGCGUGGCCUCCGAGAAGCAUCAACACCCGCAGAAGAUUGUGGCUGAAGACUGCAAGUUGGUGCGCUCUGGAAGCUGCUGCGACUGCAAGGAGAUUGUGGGGAAGAUAAUGAAGCAAGUGAGAGCGGAAUCGGAGCAAUGGACUGAGAUGCAGGACAUGCUGGAGCAGGUCAGGCUGGAGAUGCAGGAGCUGCAGUCUUCCAGGGAUACAUGGCAGCGCCGUGCCAUUGCGUCUGACAUCAGUCUUGGUUCCUUGAAUUCUGAGAUGCUGGAGUGGAAACAACGCGCGCAGGCGUCGGAACAGCAUGCUGAAGAGCUCCAGAAGAAGGUCUCGGAGCUCCAAGGCAAGCUGCACACCUUCAAAUCCCAUUUCCCCACCCCAAACCUGCCCAGCCGGGCAUGGUCUGAGGCUUGCAGGAUGGAGAACCCGCGGGCAGCCAGGGCUCAGCACCACCACCGGCCACCGCAGCAGCAGCAGCAGCAGCAGCAGGACGGCGGCAAGGAGAAGGAGAAGCACGUGCUCAUCUGCCGCGUGAAGCACUCGCCCAGCGUGGUCCCGAGGCGCUCGCCGCUGCAGGACAUCGGCAACAUCGCCUUGCCGCGGCGGCAGCGGUGA